This is a long non-coding RNA of Oncorhynchus keta (chum salmon), 636 nucleotides long. RefSeq lists it as uncharacterized. The record is from RefSeq and is a predicted model, not a curated record. The transcript is spliced from 5 exons. Lineage: Eukaryota; Metazoa; Chordata; Actinopteri; Salmoniformes; Salmonidae.
UAAAGGUGUAUAGUACUGUCAUGACCUGGUAAAGGUGUAUAGUACUGUCAUGACCUGGUAAAGGUGUAUAGUACUGUCAUGACCUGGUAAAGGUGUAUAGUACUGUCAUGACCUGGUAAAGGUGUAUAAUACUGUCAUGACCUGGUAAAGGUGUAUAGUACUGUCAUGACCUGGUAAAGGUGUAUAAUACUGUCAUGACCUGGUAAAGGUGUAUAGUACUGUCAUGACCUGGUAAAGGUGUAUAAUACUGUCAUGACCUGGUAAAGGUGUAUAGUACUGUCAUGACCUGGUAAAGGUGUAUAGUACUGUCAUGACCUGGUAAAGGUACUGUCAUGACCUGGUAUAGGUGUAUAAUACUGUCAUGACCUGGUAAAGGUGUAUAGUACUGUCAUGACCUGGUAAAGGUGUAUAGUACUGUCAUGACCUGGUAAAGGUGUAUAGUACUGUCAUGACCUGGUAAAGGUACUGUCAUGACCUGGUAAAGGUACUGUCAUGACCUGGUAAAAGUGUAUGUCGGGGCCACACAGUAAGUUGAAAGGAACAAUCUUCCCCUUGAAGUUGUCGAUAUAUUACCCAUCAGCAUGGCUCAUAAUAUGGACACCUUCCUGUUGAUGAUGUAGCAACAAUGGCUCAGAA